UUUUGCGAUUCUCGUUGAUAUUAUGCGUUGUUGGUCCAUGUUUAACAUGCUUAUUUUAUGUCAUUGCAUUUUGCUGUCACCUUCCUCAACUAUAAUACGUAAUAAUAAUGCGAAUAUGUUUGUUUCUUCAGUUUUCAUCUGCUGUAUUUUAGAAAAAAAUUAUACUUAUGUUACUUUGGAUUUGUUGUAAGUUGACAUUUGUCUAUUAUGUUUCUUCAGUGAAAAGUAAUCAAAUCCAUUGCUUCAAUCCUUUAGCCUGAUGCAAUAUUUUCAUAUGUGGGUUUACAUAUACAUAUAUAAUAGUUGGGUAGAGUCUUCUUUUUCUUAUUCGUUUAAAAUUUAGUAUAAAAAGUGGCAGUGCAUUGAUUCUAUAUAUUUCCUUCUAUGUAAUGCACGUGAUUCAACCCUUUUCAUACGUUUAUGGCAUCAUAUUUCAUGCUUCGAAUAGUACGAGUAGAGCUCCGAUGAUUCCCAAGUGAUAUGUCGGCAUCUAUUACUUUUUGUUUUACUUAAAAUUCUAUGUUCAUGUCAACGUGAUGUUCCAUUAUGUAUCUAUUUUAUCUUUACAUGUAUUAUCUUUUCCAAUAAAAAUGCUAAUUUUGAUUAUUUGUUUGUCCUUCUGCAUGUGAAAUAUGUUCUGGUCCUCAUGGACUUUGUCUAUGCAUUUUCCCAUUGGGCCACAAAGGCCCGAAUCUCCAUAUUCGAAUAAGCUUGCAAAAUAGAAGAACUAGUUCCGAAAGGCUUACACAUAUCGAAGUGAAAAGAAUCGAAGAAAGUCACAGAAGGCGGAUUGGAAGAUUUUUUUUAAUUUAUUAU
This 816-nucleotide unclassified non-coding RNA is filed under the name Hevea brasiliensis (rubber tree). Lineage: Eukaryota; Viridiplantae; Streptophyta; Magnoliopsida; Malpighiales; Euphorbiaceae. The record is from RNAcentral.